CAUGCAAGUCGAGCGGAAACGAGUUAUCUGAACCUUCGGGGAACGAUAACGGCGUCGAGCGGCGGACGGGUGAGUAAUGCCUAGGAAAUUGCCCUGAUGUGGGGGAUAACCAUUGGAAACGAUGGCUAAUACCGCAUGAUGCCUACGGGCCAAAGAGGGGGACCUUCGGGCCUCUCGCGUCAGGAUAUGCCUAGGUGGGAUUAGCUAGUUGGUGAGGUAAGGGCUCACCAAGGCGACGAUCCCUAGCUGGUCUGAGAGGAUGAUCAGCCACACUGGAACUGAGACACGGUCCAGACUCCUACGGGAGGCAGCAGUGGGGAAUAUUGCACAAUGGGCGCAAGCCUGAUGCAGCCAUGCCGCGUGUGUGAAGAAGGCCUUCGGGUUGUAAAGCACUUUCAGUCGUGAGGAAGGUAGUGUAGUUAAUAGCUGCAUUAUUUGACGUUAGCGACAGAAGAAGCACCGGCUAACUCCGUGCCAGCAGCCGCGGUAAUACGGAGGGUGCGAGCGUUAAUCGGAAUUACUGGGCGUAAAGCGCAUGCAGGUGGUUUGUUAAGUCAGAUGUGAAAGCCCGGGGCUCAACCUCGGAAUAGCAUUUGAAACUGG
Molecule: ribosomal RNA, 603 nt
Filed under: Vibrio owensii
Lineage: Bacteria; Pseudomonadati; Pseudomonadota; Gammaproteobacteria; Vibrionales; Vibrionaceae
Description: bacterial SSU rRNA
Rfam family: Bacterial small subunit ribosomal RNA
Source: RNAcentral